Molecule: long non-coding RNA, 823 nt
Filed under: Pongo abelii (Sumatran orangutan)
Lineage: Eukaryota; Metazoa; Chordata; Mammalia; Primates; Hominidae
Description: lincRNA
Source: RNAcentral
CAAGAUAACACUAACAAAGUUGACCUUAGAAUUGGAGUGCCCGGGUUAGAACCUUGCUGGUACCACCUGCUUACUGCAUGCUUCUGAUGUGAGUUCAGGAGAAGCCACUGGCAAGGACAGCAAAGAACAGGAGAACACUCUAGCUUCCCUGAUAGCAUUCAAGGUGCUGUCCAAAGCUCUUGAGUUUCUGCUUUCAAGUGACCCUCAGAAAUGCCCCCAUUCACUGCAGAGGUUCUGUUUCUCCUUGUUUUGUUCCGACUUUAUGGCAGAACUAGGUUAAUGAGUUAAUUACUAUGAGUUAUCACUUGGAUUUGAAGAACCAUCAUUUCUAGGCUUUGCUGCUCAGAGUGGACAGCAGAUAGAGCAUGAAUGAGACCCCCAAAGAAGGGAAGCAAAUGAGGCAAGCCCCACAAUUAUUCUGGCUUUUUACCUAGAGACAAUCUAUGAACUGUGGGGCAAACAACAAAGAUCAAAACAGCUUGGCAAUCUGAAUUGAGGAUGAAGACACCAUUAGGGGCAGAAGUACAGGUAGCUCAAAUUUGUGGAGCAAAGUACCAGAGAAGAUAAACUGCUCCAAAUUCCAUGAGGCUGGGCAAGGAAAAACUUUGUGGAAAGAAGAAUUAUCAGGGAGCCCUAAGCUGAAAAAUUGCCAGGGCUCAUACAGACCUGGGGAAUUGGUUGAGUUUAUGCCACCUAUAGGAUAGAGAACUUGCUGAAUGUUCAAGGAUUUUGUUACAGAUGCCAGAAAGAUGACACUUAAAGGGAUGCAAAACUAACAUCUCUGGAUUAGUCUUAAUAGAGUUUAAAAAUAAGCUUAGAAAAA